Long non-coding RNA from Trifolium pratense (red clover), 305 nucleotides. RefSeq lists it as uncharacterized. Lineage: Eukaryota; Viridiplantae; Streptophyta; Magnoliopsida; Fabales; Fabaceae. The record is from RefSeq and is a predicted model, not a curated record. The transcript is spliced from 3 exons.
GUUAUAUUGAGGAUGUGGAACACUCUAACCAAACAGAGGUUUUAGCAAAUGAAUCAGAUGGGAAUGAAUCAGAUGGAGCAACGGAAGUCCAGAAUGAAAUGGAGGAAGACCAACACGAAGAAGAUGAUGCUGGACAAGAACAGGAUGAUCUAACAGUUACAUGGAAUACAACAGUAACAAAGGCCAUUUCUAAUCUUUCAAAGAAACAAGUGCUGCACUUCCCAAAUCCUAUUUCAAGGGGAGUGCUAGCCAAUACCAACCAGAUUCAGCUAAUAGCAGAAGACAGUGAUUUUGAAAUUCCAUGC